GUGCUCACUUUAGCAGCACAUAUACUAAAAUUGGAACACUACAGAGAAGAUUAGCUUGUCCCCUGUGCAAUGAUGAUACAUAAAUUCAUGAAGUGUUCCAUACUUUU
Molecule: small nuclear RNA, 107 nt
Organism: Trichosurus vulpecula (common brushtail)
Lineage: Eukaryota; Metazoa; Chordata; Mammalia; Diprotodontia; Phalangeridae
Source: RefSeq, a predicted model, not a curated record